Molecule: long non-coding RNA, 381 nt
Organism: Ipomoea triloba (trilobed morning glory)
Lineage: Eukaryota; Viridiplantae; Streptophyta; Magnoliopsida; Solanales; Convolvulaceae
Exons: 3
Source: RefSeq, a predicted model, not a curated record
AAAAACAAAAAUGGAAGUACAGUAUCAGUAUCAGUUUCAGCUUUAGCUUCCUUCUUGCUGCAUCAAUAAAGCCAUCACAAUGCCAGGCCCGCCAAGCAACCUCGACAGAGUGGAGGAGUACCUGCAAACUAUCCAAAAAGUUUUGAUGGCAUGGAGGGCCUUCUGCACCUCCUCUUGGUUGAGGUAAGAUAUGACAUAACCGGCCGAGCAAGGAUUAUAUCCCUUUAUAGAUCAAGUUCAGUUCAUUCUGUUAGCUGACCUGAUUGAUUAUAAGCAAAGUGCAGUGGGAGUAAAUUAGAGUUGAAUGAACACACACACACACUCACCAAACCAUGACAUUGUUGUUUUGGGACAUCAUUAAAGCAGUAAUUAGUGUAAAUG